This 254-nucleotide ribosomal RNA is filed under the name uncultured bacterium. Its description in RNAcentral is "partial 16S ribosomal RNA". It matches the Rfam family "Bacterial small subunit ribosomal RNA", at positions 524 to 776 of the family's 1533-position model. The record is from RNAcentral.
UACGUAGGGGGCGAGCGUUGUCCGAAGUUACUGGGCGUAAAGCGCGCGUAGGCGGCUGUUUAAGUCUGGGGUGAAAGGUUCAGCGCUCAACGCGAACAGUGCCCUGGAUACUGGAGAGCUUGAGUCUGGGAGGGGGCAGUGGAAUUCCUGGUGUAGCGGUGAAAUGCGUAGAUAUCAGGAGGAACACCGGUGGCGAAGGCGGCUGCCUGGCCUAAGACUGACGCUGAGGUGCGAAAGCGUGGGGAGCGAACGGG